GCGCCGAACAGCCGCGAGCAGCACCCGAAAGGGUCUGUGCGAGGAAAGUCCGGGCUUCACAGAGCGAAAAUAACGGCUAACGGCCGCCGGGGGCGACCCCAGGGAUAGUGCAACAGAAAGUAACCGCAGCUUUGCUUAUUGGCUGGCUGCAAGGGUGGAAAGGUGAGGUAAGAGCUCACCGGAGGGCAGGAGACUGCUCUGCCGUGUAAACCCUAUUUGAAGCAACACCGUGGAAGGACACAAUGCGCUUGCUCGGCGCGUCCUGAGGAGGUGGCAUCGAGCGGUUCGGGCAACCGGCCGCCAAGAUAGAUGGCUGUUCAAGACAGAACCCGGCUUACAGACGCAGU
Molecule: RNase P RNA, 347 nt
Filed under: uncultured Ruminococcus sp.
Lineage: Bacteria; Bacillati; Bacillota; Clostridia; Eubacteriales; Oscillospiraceae
Description: Bacterial RNase P class A
Rfam family: Bacterial RNase P class A
About the family: Ribonuclease P (RNase P) is a ubiquitous endoribonuclease, found in archaea, bacteria and eukarya as well as chloroplasts and mitochondria.
Source: RNAcentral